This 253-nucleotide ribosomal RNA is filed under the name uncultured bacterium. Its description in RNAcentral is "partial 16S ribosomal RNA". It matches the Rfam family "Bacterial small subunit ribosomal RNA", at positions 524 to 776 of the family's 1533-position model. The record is from RNAcentral.
UACGGAGGGUGCAAGCGUUAAUCGGAAUUACUGGGCGUAAAGCGCGCGUAGGCGGUUAUAUAAGUCAGUCGUGAAAUCCCUGGGCUUAACCUGGGCACUGCGAUUGAAACUGUAUAACUAGAGUAUGGUAGAGGUGAGUGGAAUUUCCGGUGUAGCGGUGAAAUGCGUAGAUAUCGGAAGGAACAUCAGUGGCGAAGGCGACUCACUGGACCAAUACUGACGCUGAGGUGCGAAAGCGUGGGUAGCGAACAGG